RNAcentral lists this ribosomal RNA (342 nucleotides) under uncultured bacterium. RNAcentral's name for it is "bacterial SSU rRNA". It matches the Rfam family "Bacterial small subunit ribosomal RNA", at positions 1 to 334 of the family's 1533-position model. The record is from RNAcentral.
AGAGACGAGUCAGAGUUUGAUCCUGGCUCAGGACGAACGCUGGCGGCGUGCUUAACACAUGCAAGUCGAACGAUGAAGCGGUGCUUGCACCGUGGAUUAGUGGCGAACGGGUGAGUAAUACGUGAGUGACCUACCUUUGACUCUGGGAUAAGCCUGGGAAACUGGGUCUAAUACCGGAUACGACCAAUCUCUGCAUGGGGUGUUGGUGGAAAGCGUUAUGGAGUGGUUUUAGAUGGGCUCACGGCCUAUCAGCUUGUUGGUGAGGUAAUGGCUUACCAAGGCGACGACGGGUAGCCGGCCUGAGAGGGUGACCGGCCACACUGGGACUGAGACACGGCCCAG